CAUACAGAUAUAAUGUCAGCGAACGUUUAAGAUCAGAAGAAUUUGAUGUUGAGAUAUUUAAUUCGCUAACAUUUAGACAAGGGGAUGGUUUUGUAACAAUAAAAACGCCUUUUGAAGAAAAAUCCAAGGAGCUUUGAGUGUUAAGCCACUAUAAGGUCGCCAACAUUGAGAAUGUGCCAGUAAAGGACAGAUGGAAGUUCAGCGAAGCUACUGUUAGAUUGUACACAAGCGAUGAAUCAAAAGAUCAAACACUUCAUACUGGACUCAAUGAGACGAUGCAAACUAUAUUUGAUAAAUUACUAACUGAUCCGAAGCGUCAAACUAUUAAGAGCAAGACGAGUAUUUGAUUAUUAUAUGAAAAAAAUAAAUUUCAUUUAAUAAACAAAAAAUUAUUAUACAUGUA
Molecule: long non-coding RNA, 403 nt
Filed under: Acyrthosiphon pisum (pea aphid)
Lineage: Eukaryota; Metazoa; Arthropoda; Insecta; Hemiptera; Aphididae
Description: uncharacterized LOC103308980
Source: RNAcentral